This 301-nucleotide ribosomal RNA is filed under the name uncultured bacterium. Its description in RNAcentral is "partial 16S ribosomal RNA". It matches the Rfam family "Bacterial small subunit ribosomal RNA", at positions 509 to 807 of the family's 1533-position model. The record is from RNAcentral.
CAGUAGCCGCGGUAAUACGUAGGGUGCGAGCGUUAAUCGGAAUUACUGGGCGUAAAGCGUGCGCAGGCGGUUGUGUAAGACAGGUGUGAAAUCCCCAGGCUUAACCUGGGAACUGCGCUUGUGACUGCACAGCUAGAGUAUGGCAGAGGGGGGUGGAAUUCCACGUGUAGCAGUGAAAUGCGUAGAGAUGUGGAGGAACACCGAUGGCGAAGGCAGCCCCCUGGGCCAAUACUGACGCUCAUGCACGAAAGCGUGGGGAGCAAACAGGAUUAGAUACCCCUGUAGUCCCUGUCUCUUAUAC